GGCGGCAGGCCUAACACAUGCAAGUCGAGCGGAAACGAGUUAUCUGAACCUUCGGGUGAACGAUAACGGCGUCGAGCGGCGGACGGGUGAGUAAUGCCUAGGAAAUUGCCCUGAUGUGGGGGAUAACCAUUGGAAACGAUGGCUAAUACCGCAUGAUGCCUACGGGCCAAAGAGGGGGACCUUCGGGCCUCUCGCGUCAGGAUAUGCCUAGGUGGGAUUAGCUAGUUGGUGAGGUAAGGGCUCACCAAGGCGACGAUCCCUAGCUGGUCUGAGAGGAUGAUCAGCCACACUGGAACUGAGACACGGUCCAGACUCCUACGGGAGGCAGCAGUGGGGAAUAUUGCACAAUGGGCGCAAGCCUGAUGCAGCCAUGCCGCGUGUGUGAAGAAGGCCUUCGGGUUGUAAAGCACUUUCAGUCGUGAGGAAGGUAGUGUAGUUAAUAGCUGCAUUAUUUGACGUUAGCGACAGAAGAAGCACCGGCUAACUCCGUGCCAGCAGCCGCGGUAAUACGGAGGGUGCGAGCGUUAAUCGGAAUUACUGGGCGUAAAGCGCAUGCAGGUGGUUUGUUAAGUCAGAUGUGAAAGCCCGGGGCUCAACCUCGGAAUAGCAUUUGAAACUGGCAGACUAGAGUACUGUAGAGGGGGGUAGAAUUUCAGGUGUAGCGGUGAAAUGCGUAGAGAUCUGAAGGAAUACCGGUGGCGAAGGCGGCCCCCUGGACAGAUACUGACACUCAGAUGCGAAAGCGUGGGGAGCAAACAGGAUUAGAUACCCUGGUAGUCCACGCCGUAAACGAUGUCUACUUGGAGGUUGUGGCCUUGAGCCGUGGCUUUCGGAGCUAACGCGUUAAGUAGACCGCCUGGGGAGUACGGUCGCAAGAUUAAAACUCAAAUGAAUUGACGGGGGCCCGCACAAGCGGUGGAGCAUGUGGUUUAAUUCGAUGCAACGCGAAGAACCUUACCUACUCU
RNAcentral lists this ribosomal RNA (965 nucleotides) under bacterium WP3ISO16. RNAcentral's name for it is "bacterial SSU rRNA". It matches the Rfam family "Bacterial small subunit ribosomal RNA", at positions 38 to 981 of the family's 1533-position model. The record is from RNAcentral.